AGGAUGAACGCUGGCGGCGUGCUUAACACAUGCAAGUCGAACGAUGAAGGCUGGAGCUUGCUCUGGCUGGAUUAGUGGCGAACGGGUGAGUAACACGUGAGUAACCUGCCCCAGACUCUGGGAUAAGCGCUGGAAACGGCGUCUAAUACCGGAUACGAGCUUCCACCGCAUGGUGAGGAGCUGGAAAGAAUUUCGGCCUGGGAUGGACUCGCGGCCUAUCAGCUUGUUGGUGA
RNAcentral lists this ribosomal RNA (233 nucleotides) under uncultured soil bacterium. Its description in RNAcentral is "partial 16S ribosomal RNA". It matches the Rfam family "Bacterial small subunit ribosomal RNA", at positions 26 to 255 of the family's 1533-position model. The record is from RNAcentral.